AAUCAAGUGCCUUAAGGGUGUUCGGAAGAUACAAUGGCGGAGAGAUGCGAUGAAGGAAAUUCUAAUUUUCGAUAAACCUUGUGGAGACAGGAAGAACAUAUGAUCCGGGGAUUUAUGAACAGGGAAAGCCGCGCUUGAUAGCGGGACCUUCAAGACAGAUGUCGAAAGACAUCGGUGUGGGGUUCGACCAGAUGAUGGAAGAUGGCAAGCCCUUUAGAUCUCGAUGAAAGAGGUUUGGGAGAUCCCAUCAUCAAGAGAAGGUAUGAGACUUAGAAAUCCAUAGGAGGUUUCAAGCAAACCCAGGGAACUGAAACAUCUAAGUACC
RNAcentral lists this ribosomal RNA (325 nucleotides) under Bradyrhizobium diazoefficiens SEMIA 5080. Its description in RNAcentral is "bacterial LSU rRNA". Lineage: Bacteria; Pseudomonadati; Pseudomonadota; Alphaproteobacteria; Hyphomicrobiales; Nitrobacteraceae. The record is from RNAcentral.